RNAcentral lists this ribosomal RNA (397 nucleotides) under uncultured bacterium. RNAcentral describes it as "bacterial SSU rRNA". It matches the Rfam family "Bacterial small subunit ribosomal RNA", at positions 28 to 431 of the family's 1533-position model. The record is from RNAcentral.
GACGAACGCUGGCGGCGUGCUUAACACAUGCAAGUCGAGCGGUAAGGCCCUUUUGGGGGUACACGAGCGGCGAACGGGUGAGUAACACGUGGGUGACCUGCCCUCAGCUCUGGGAUAAGCCUGGGAAACUGGGUCUAAUACUGGAUAUGACCUUUCCUCGCAUGGGGUUGGGUGGAAAGUUUUUCGGCUGGGGAUGGCCCGCGGCCUAUCAGCUUGUUGGUGGGGUGAUGGCCUACCAAGGCGACGACGGGUAGCCGGCCUGAGAGGGCGACCGGCCACACUGGGACUGAGACACGGCCCAGACUCCUACGGGAGGCAGCAGUGGGGAAUAUUGCGCAAUGGGCGGAAGCCUGACGCAGCGACGCCGCGUGGGGAUGACGGCCUUCGGUUGUAACCU